This 468-nucleotide ribosomal RNA is filed under the name uncultured bacterium. RNAcentral describes it as "partial 16S ribosomal RNA". It matches the Rfam family "Bacterial small subunit ribosomal RNA", at positions 28 to 507 of the family's 1533-position model. The record is from RNAcentral.
GACGAACGCUGGCGGCGUGCUUAACACAUGCAAGUCGUACGGAAAGGCCCUGCUUUUGUGGGGUGCUCGAGUGGCGAACGGGUGAGUAACACGUGAGUAACCUGCCCUUGACUUUGGGAUAACUUCAGGAAACUGGGGCUAAUACCGGAUAGGAGCUCCUGCUGCAUGGUGGGGGUUGGAAAGUUUCGGCGGUUGGGGAUGGACUCGCGGCUUAUCAGCUUGUUGGUGGGGUAGUGGCUUACCAAGGCUUUGACGGGUAGCCGGCCUGAGAGGGUGACCGGCCCCAUUGGGCCUGAGAUACGGCCCAGACUCCUACGGGAGGCAGCAGUGGGGAAUAUUGCACAAUGGGCGGAAGCCUGAUGCAGCAACGCCGCGUGCGGGAUGACGGCCUUCGGGUUGUAAACCGCUUUCGCCUGUGACUAAGCGUGAGUGACGGUAAUGGGUAAAGAAGCACCGGCUAACUACGUG